Molecule: long non-coding RNA, 789 nt
Filed under: Homo sapiens (human)
Lineage: Eukaryota; Metazoa; Chordata; Mammalia; Primates; Hominidae
Description: non-protein coding lnc-OPRM1-6:3
Source: RNAcentral
AUGAUCCACCAAACUCACGCUUACCACAUAGUUAACCUUAGCCUCUGACCGCUAAUGGGAGCCCUUUCAGCACUACUGAUAACAUCCGGCCUAGCCACAUGAUUUCAUUUUAACUCUACUCCCCUCCUGACUAACUCUAGGCCUAUUAACCAAUACAUUAACAAUACAUCAAUGAUGAUGUGAUGUUAUCCAAGAAGGCACAUUCCAAGGCCACCAUACAUCAAUCGUCCAAAAAGGCCUUCGAUACAGAAUAAUCUUAUUCGUUAUUUCAGAGGUGUUUUUUUCCGCUGGCUUCUUCUGAGCAUUCUACCAUUCUAGCCUAGCCCCGACUCCAGAACUAGGGAGAUGCUGGCCUCCAACAGGCAUUUACCCUCUUAACUCUCUAGAAGUCCCUCUCCUUAAUACAUCUGUUUUACUUCCACCUGGAGUUUCAAUUACUUGGGCUCACCACAACUUAAUAGAAGGUAACCAAAGACACAUACUUUAGGCACUGUCCAUCACAAUUGCCCUAGGUAUUUACUUUACACUUCUAUAAGCCUUAGAGUAUUUCGAAGCCCCUUUCACUAUCUCUGGCGGGGUUUACGUCUCAACAUUCUUCAUAGCUACAGGCUUUCACAGGCUUCAUGUUAUUAUUGGAUCAACAUUUCUUACUGUCUCUCUAUUCCGCCAACUAAAAUUUCACCUUACAUCCUACCACUAUUUUGAAUUUGAAGCCACUGCCUGGUACUGGCACUUUGUAGACAUAGUAUGUCUAUUCCUAUAUGUUUCUAUCUAUUGAUGAGGAUCUUA